This is a long non-coding RNA of Girardinichthys multiradiatus, 585 nucleotides long. RefSeq lists it as uncharacterized. The transcript has 3 exons. Lineage: Eukaryota; Metazoa; Chordata; Actinopteri; Cyprinodontiformes; Goodeidae. The record is from RefSeq and is a predicted model, not a curated record.
CGGACGCCUUCGCUCCGGACAUUUUCACCUGAAACUCUCUGCACGUAAAAGAGCCGCCCAAUACACCACAGGGUUCAGCGCUCUUUAGCAAAGCAUGGCUGAUAUUUUCAGAUUUACCGGCGUUCUGCAAAAAGAAAACAGCACAAGGAGAACAGGACAUGGAGCAGGGGCAGAAGAACAGAGCAACAACGGGAACAACGGUGGAACAGGCAGGCAAACGGACAGUAACAGGAGGAUCCAGCAAAGAACAAUGAUCAAAGAGCUUAAAUACUAGAGGAAUAAAGGAGAAUGACAUCGGAUGCAGAGAUAAGUACAUGUGUAAUUCUAAGGAACGGGACCUCAAAGCAUUUUCUGGUGGAACCUCUUCUGAUGUUCUCCACACUACACCCAGUGAGUCCUGCUUCUUCUGCAACACUGACAUGUUAACCAUACAGUCCGGAACAGGAGAAAACCAAAAAGCAGCUAUGAAUCAGAUUCUUCUUUGACCUGUGGCUAAUGGUGUCAACAUUUGCUAACACAGAGGCCUGUACCAUGUCCCAUGCUGUAGCACAGCAGAGCUCCUAAUAAAUCCUUUUAAGAAAUUAG